GUAGGUGAACCUGCGGAGGGAUCAUUACCGAGUGAGGGCCUCCGGGCUCGACCUCCAACCCUUUGUCGUUACAACCACGUUGCCUCGGGGGCGACCCGGCCUUCGCGUCGGGGCCCCCGGUGGACCCAACCAUUAAACUCUGCGUCUUUGCGUCGGAGUCAUAAAGUAAAUCAAUUAAAACUUUCAACAACGGAUCUCUUGGUUCUG
RNAcentral lists this unclassified non-coding RNA (207 nucleotides) under rhizosphere metagenome. Its description in RNAcentral is "partial ribosomal RNA internal transcribed spacer region". The record is from RNAcentral.